UACGAAGGGGGCUAGCGUUGCUCGGAAUCACUGGGCGUAAAGGGUGCGUAGGCGGGUCUUUAAGUCAGGGGUGAAGUCCUGGAGCUCAACUCCAGAACUGCCUUUGAUACUGAAGAUCUUGAGUUCGGGAGAGGUGAGUGGAACUGCGAGUGUAGAGGUGAAAUUCGUAGAUAUUCGCAAGAACACCAGUGGCGAAGGCGGCUCACUGGCCCGAUACUGACGCUGAGGCACGAAAGCGUGGGGAGCAAACAGG
RNAcentral lists this ribosomal RNA (253 nucleotides) under uncultured bacterium. RNAcentral's name for it is "partial 16S ribosomal RNA". It matches the Rfam family "Bacterial small subunit ribosomal RNA", at positions 524 to 776 of the family's 1533-position model. The record is from RNAcentral.